UCCACCCCUCCUUUCAAACUCCUCUGGCAAGAAGGGACUCCUAUUGUGUGCAUAAUAUUUUUAAAGUUGAAAAUAUUUCCUGUCAAGAUGCUUUUUGGACAAGCCAAAGCAAAGAUGUGGAGCCUUCAAAACCUGCUUUUCAUCCUCUGCAAAAGACACAGUGAGGUGUGGAAGAAGAAUCAUGAGGCAGCGGCCCAUGCAGGGAUAGAAAAGACACUGUCCAAGAUACGUCACUUCUUUAUUGGCCCAGCAUGGAAGAUGAGAUUUAUGGAAAUCAAGAAUUUGUGGUGACCUUCAAACAGCAAAGCGCCUUGAACCACUUUGAUGAUCCAGGCGGAGAUGAACCAGAUUAAGAAAACAUUACAACUGAAGAAUUCUACUGCAAUGAAAAUUACCAUAAAGCUCACAGAAGAUAAUUGUAUGCAGAUCCUGUUUGAUUCAUCCUUAACACGAAGUGCUCAACAAUGUACUGCUGUUGCUCAACAUUGUCACUGUGAUCCAUACUUCAUUAUUGUCAUGAAAAACAUCCUGUGAAUAUUUAUAGAUUAAAUUCAUACACUUUUACACUAGGUUGGCUUUCAUUUUUAUUUCUUAGGAUCUUAGGAUCUGCACUGUUUUGUCAACUUAUGUAAACCUGCACUACAUUUUUUUGACACAUAGUUACUAGAUGCUUUCUCGAGCAAGAUUUUACAGAUAAAAGCAAACGGACUGUGC
Oreochromis niloticus (Nile tilapia) is the source of this 714-nucleotide long non-coding RNA. RefSeq lists it as uncharacterized. Lineage: Eukaryota; Metazoa; Chordata; Actinopteri; Cichliformes; Cichlidae. The transcript is spliced from 3 exons. The record is from RefSeq and is a predicted model, not a curated record.